GAAAUAAAUAAAUCCUCUUUAGCAGAUCAAUAUUCAUCCCAUUUAAUGCUUGAUGUGAAACUUGUGGAUUUGUGGUGGUAAUGCUGAUGUACAGCUAAUCGUUGAAAAUGGGCAUUAGGGCUUUUAUAGCAUGGCAACAUAUUGUCAGGCAGGAAGGGAAAGAAGUGGAAAACACAGCCUGGAAAAAAAAUAUGAUUCAGGCUGCCCCUGCUGAAUUUUAGAGAGCGUCAAAACUUAUUGGUUAAAGGGAUGCCUUUAUGAGUAAAACAUGAGAAAUAUUCACUUACUAGGUAAGCAAUUUGUAAGGACUGGAAGUAGAAAUUAAGCAACCAAGACAAGAAGGCUGUCCUAUCAGUUUCAAGAACAACUAAGAGGAUGUUAAAGCAGAGGGAGCCCCUGCAUGACUUAAGAAAACCGAAGGCAGGCAGAACAGAGACUUUUCAGGGUGCGAAGUUACGCAUGGUGCCCUCUACUGGAGUCACUGGUAAAGAGUUUUGAUUUCAAAAAGAAAUUGACGUAGAAUUUGUUCUUGUUCCAUUGUAUUGGUGAAGAAACUGAAGUUCAAAGUAAUUGGCAGAACAUACUACUUUGGGCAGUAUGGGAGUAGAGGCCUAUGGACGACCAGCAACAGGCUAGGGAUAAGAGUGGAGAUCUGAAUACAAGAAACUAGUAUUCAGGAUACGGGUCCUGGUUGUGAUUCUCUCCUAAUCCUUCGUGUGACUGGAGUUAUGUCGUGUGACUCUCAUAAACAAUGGGUUUUCCUUCUUUGUACGUAAUAGUUGGCAGAAGUGGUUACGUCCUUGCCACAAGGAAAAAGUCUCAUGAGAUGAUUAAUCUAAAACUUAUUUUAGAAAUAUAAAGGACUUUAUGAAUUCAAGGCAGUAUAUUAAGAAAAUAUCCCCUCAAACAAUGAACCAAUGAGACUGGCAAAGAUCUUGAUUUUCCUGAUUUUCAUUUAGAUUCUUAACAUUUGAGUCCAUUGAUAUAUUCGAAGCUCUACCCUUCUGGAAAAUAUCAUAAGAUUUGAAAAAUAUAGCUGCAAAGAGCAAAAGAAGAUUUGCGUCUCAAUAGAAAAGAUCUACAGAUUGAAUAUUGCAUAGAAAACAAUUUAUUCACCUUACAAAGAUAAAAGGAUGAAAACGCCCUGAGCAGUAAUAAAACUUCGCCAUUUUGGGGAGGGCCUCAAGAGGCUAUCUUAUCAAUCUUGGUCGUUGGAAAAGUAUCUGUAAUCUCAAAGAAAACUUUAAAUACUGUCCAAGGAAAAUAUCCAAAUACAUCUUAAAAUGCCA
This 1289-nucleotide long non-coding RNA is filed under the name Homo sapiens (human). RNAcentral describes it as "uncharacterized LOC105377366, transcript variant 4 (LOC105377366)". Lineage: Eukaryota; Metazoa; Chordata; Mammalia; Primates; Hominidae. The record is from RNAcentral.